RNAcentral lists this ribosomal RNA (811 nucleotides) under uncultured rumen protozoa. RNAcentral describes it as "bacterial SSU rRNA". It matches the Rfam family "Eukaryotic small subunit ribosomal RNA", at positions 876 to 1757 of the family's 1831-position model. The record is from RNAcentral.
AGGACAUUGGGCAAUAGAUUAGUCAGAGGUGAAUCUUGGAUGGAAGCUAACGUAUCGGAGCAUGCCAAGGAGUUUUCUUAUUCAGCGAAGAUGGUUCAAAAACAAUCAGAUACUAGUUGAGGUCAGAUGUAUGACUAGUCGGCUAGGGAUUCGACUCCACAUCUUCAUUCAGUACCUAUGAGAAAAUCAGUCUUUGGUUUGGAGAGGUAAUUCGCAAGCUGGAGCUUAAGGAAUUGACUGAAGAACAGCGGGCAGGGAGGUGGAGGCUUCCGCUUCAACUCGCCCUCAACACGGGGAACUUACAAGAGAAUCCAGACAUAGUGAGGGAUUGUCAGAUUGAUAGCUUCUUUCUUGUUCUAUGGGUGGUGGUCUCCCGUCCUUGUUGGUGGAAUAAUUUGUCUGUUGAAUUCCGAUAACGAACGAGACCUUAACCUGCUAAGCUAGAUAUUUUCAUUUUAUGAAUAUAUCUUCUUAGAGGGACUAUAUGCUUUGAGUAUGUGGGGGUAAGAGGCAUAACAGGUCUGUGAUGCCCUUUAUAUGUCCUGGGCUGCACGCGUGCUACACUGAUAUAUACAACAAGUGCCUAGCUAGAUAUAGUAUGGCAAUCUCGAAUAUAUAUCGUGAUGGGGAUAGAUCUUUGCAAUUAUAGAUCUUGAAAAGAGAAAAUUCCUAGUAAGUGCAAGUCAUCAUCUUGCAUUUUUUAUUUCUCUGCCCUUUGGGCAAAAGCGAGAAGUCGCUCCUACCGAUACCGGGUGAUCCGGUGAACCUUUGACCUCAAGGAAGAAAUCCCCUUCCUGCAAAGAAUGACAGA